Molecule: ribosomal RNA, 1061 nt
Filed under: Chaetosphaeria vermicularioides
Lineage: Eukaryota; Fungi; Ascomycota; Sordariomycetes; Chaetosphaeriales; Chaetosphaeriaceae
Description: partial large subunit ribosomal RNA
Rfam family: Eukaryotic large subunit ribosomal RNA
Source: RNAcentral
AUAUCAAUAAGCGGAGGAAAAGAAACCAACAGGGAUUGCCUUAGUAACGGCGAGUGAAGCGGCAACAGCUCAAAUUUGAAAUCUGGCCUAUGGUCCGAGUUGUAAUUUGCAGAGGAUGCUUCGGGCGCGGUGCCUUCCAAGUCCCCUGGAACGGGGCGCCGGAGAGGGUGAGAGCCCCGUACGGUUGGCGGCCAAGCCUGUGUGAAGCUCCUUCGACGAGUCGAGUAGUUUGGGAAUGCUGCUCUAAGCGGGAGGUAGACCCCUUCUAAAGCUAAAUACCGGCCAGAGACCGAUAGCGCACAAGUAGAGUGAUCGAAAGAUGAAAAGCACUUUGAAAAGAGGGUUAAACAGCACGUGAAAUUGUUGAAAGGGAAGCGCUUGUGACCAGACGUGCGCCGGGGUGUUCAGCGGGCGUUCUCGCCCGUGCACUCGCCCCGGUGCAGGCCAGCGUCGGUUUGGGUGGGGGGAUAAAGGCGUCUGGAAUGUGGCUCCUCCGGGAGUGUUAUAGCCAGACGUGCCAUGCCUCCGCCUGGACCGAGGUACGCGUUCUGCAAGGACGCUGGCGUAAUGGUCUCCAGCGACCCGUCUUGAAACACGGACCAAGGAGUCGAGGUUUUGCGCGAGUGUUUGGGUGGAAAACCCGCACGCGUAAUGAAAGUGAACGUAGGUGAGAGCUUCGGCGCAUCACCGACCGAUCCUGAUGUUUUCGGAUGGAUUUGAGUAAGAGCGUAGGGCCUCGGACCCGAAAGAUGGUGAACUAUGCUUGGAUAGGGUGAAGCCAGAGGAAACUCUGGUGGAGGCUCGCAGCGGUUCUGACGUGCAAAUCGAUCGUCAAAUCUGAGCAUGGGGGCGAAAGACUAAUCGAACCAUCUAGUAGCUGGUUACCGCCGAAGUUUCCCUCAGGAUAGCAGUGUUGUUCUUCAGUUUUAUGAGGUAAAGCGAAUGAUUAGGGACUCGGGGGCGCUAUUUAGCCUUCAUCCAUUCUCAAACUUUAAAUAUGUAAGAAGCCCUUGUUGCUUAAUUGAACGUGGGCAUUCGAAUGUAUCAACACUAGUGGGCCA